Molecule: long non-coding RNA, 5903 nt
Filed under: Sus scrofa (pig)
Lineage: Eukaryota; Metazoa; Chordata; Mammalia; Artiodactyla; Suidae
Description: lncRNA (ENSSSCG00000056884.1)
Source: RNAcentral
CGGUCUCCAGCCUCCGGAACAUAUCUUGAAGAGAUAGCUGUUGAUUGGGAAAUUCUUCCCUAACCAAAAAACCCAAGCCCAAACCAGAAAACCACAACUAACCCAAAUCCAGGAUUUAGUGCCCCUAGUCUGGGGUCUCUGCGGUGGGCCCUCUCCCCGACAGCCAUAGACACACAACCUCACCACCUUCGGUGCCCCGAGGCUUCCCGGUCGGUCGGGUCAGUUCCUUGCUUUGCCUCUGAGCAAGUGGCCCAUUGGGUUGGGGCUGCCAACGUGCGUCUAUGAAGGGUUGGGUGUUGGGGGAGCAGGGGGGCCCCUUCCUCGGCGAAUACCUCUCCCCGUCAGCUCACUUGUACAGUAAAGGAAAUCUGAUUUUAAAAAUAGAGCUUGGAAGAGGAGAUGAGAGGAUAUUUAGGAGCAGAGCUGAGCCUGGGGCGGGGGGCGGGGUGGAGGAAUUAGGGAAGAGGUGAGGAGAGGGGUGGCGGCCUGCGGCCAAGUUGCUGAGGGGCGGUGAGAAAGGGGAGGUGUGAGCACGGGAGGGGUGGCCCCCAGACACUGGCCGACAGGCCUGGAGUCCCCUGGCUCUCGGGCUGUCAGGUGGGCUAACAUCAGCUGGAGACACCCCCCCCCCCCACCGCCUACCGCCGCCGGCUCGCGCUGCCUCUGGGCCCUGCUCAGAGUCACUUGGAUUUGAGGGUCUUAGGGGCUGAGUGACCUGGAGAUCUGUUCCCUGCAGAGUCUCCACUGCCCCACGAUGGGGGGGGGGCUCUUGGGGACCCUGGGAAGGCCACAGGCUGUUGUGAGUUAUUCUCUUACAUUAAGGUCAGGGUCAAGGUCAAGGUGUGUCCAGGCUGAGGUGGGAGUCCUGCUGGGCUCUCUGGCUGGGCACCGGCAGCGUGGGUCCCUCUCUUCGCCCAGCUCGUUUGUUGGGAGCAGAUUAGGAGGGUGGGGGGGCCUUCUGAGAGUGCUCCCUGAGGGCCCCCUGAGGAGCUCGGGUUGGGUCCCGGGUCCCAGUGGACCAUGGGACCGUCCAGGGCUGCUGGCCUGUCAUAGCUCCAGGUAGGGAGUCGGGGGUCUGGGCCCCUGCCUUUCCACUCAACCCCCUGACCUGUGCCAAGACCCUUGGGCCUUACGGAGGGAGAUGCUUCUCACCUUGACCCAGAACAGCGAGGCCCAGGUACUCUCGUCCCCGCCCCUGGCCUGGCUAGAGGCCCCCGACUGUCCGUCUCCCUGGCCUCAGACAUCACUGGCAACACUGAGUGUCUAGACAGGGGCCACUGGGUUAUGGCAGAGCUGGGGCUGGCCCCUGGGCUUGUCCUCCGAGUCCAGCCCAGGCGGGGUGGGGGCCUCCUGGAGAGGGUGCCCAGCUCCCCGCUUCCCCGGCCAUCGAGGUGAAGGGCAGUGCCCCUGAUUCUGAAGAGAGCGUGCCCCUCCGCUGCUUGACUGGCAGCUCCAGGGGGCGGCUGGAUCACUCUGCCCAGAAUAACCCUGGGAGGGGGAGAGGGCCGCCUGCGGGAGGGGCUGAGCGAGGGGUCACGGAUGGCCAUGUCCUCCUCCUUCGGGCGACCCAAAUCGGCCUGGCCGAUCCGCUGUGCCCGAAGCCGCCCUUGCCCUUCAAGGCAAGUGGGCUGGGAAGGUGCUGCCAGCCCAGGACCUAGGCUGACUGUCCAUGUGACCUUCCCCCGGGUCCUCAGUUUCCCCAGAUCUGCGGGGGGGGUUUGGGCUGUGUCUUCUCUGCCCCUGUAGGUCUGGGGUCCCGAGAAUUGCCCAUGGGGUAACCCUCGGGAGCAGGGGUGAGGGGAGGGGGCGGGCUGAGCAGGUGGGGGCCCUCCUACCCUUUCCACAGUUGGGAGCACAGGCAGGGGGGUUUCUUUGUCCAGGUUUGACCCCCGGGCUGGGCGAGUGAACUCUCUCGGGUCUCUGGCGGGCUCCCUCUGUGCCUGGUGCCAUGGUGGCAGGCCUUUGUCAUGGGGGUUCCUGGGGCAGGAGGCUGGGGCCUUGGUGCAGGGCUGGCGAGGGCUGGAGUGGGGGGCAGAGGCUGGCCUCCGUCUCCCCAUUUCCGUAAAGGAAGGGGCACGCCAAGCCUUUUGUACACCGGAAGGGCUGAAAUCACCUUUGGGAUUCUUGGGAUUAUUAUUUCAGCACACUCGCUCUAAGGGUAAGGUCAGGACUCAGACGGCCUCUUCGCGCGUGGUGCCACCUUUCAUCCUCCCGGUAACCCGGGCGAGGUGAUGAUGCCCUGUCUUUCAAGUGAGAGAACCUGAGCCCAGGGGGUGAAGCCAGUGGCCCAGGAGCUGUAAUUAGCGGGGGCAGUGGUGCUCGGACCCCGGUCAUUGGACGGCCCUGUGACCGGGGCUAGUGAGGGAUGGCGCGUGGAGAGGCAGGGGGCGCGUGUCCUCCAGACGGGGGUCAUCAGCCUCCCUGCAUCACAGGAAGGGUUCCCCAGGGAGUGUCUGCUCUGUGUCAGGCAUGGCCCUGGGCCCGAGGCCCCCAGACUGACGGUGCUCCUUCCAGGGUGGGCUUGCUUCCUGGCUCACGGGGUCAAGUUGAGAAGGCGAGAGCCCCGUUUGGGAAGGAAGAGGCAGAGGCGUCAGUCGAAGCCAGGCUUAGGCUCUCCGCCCUCCACUGGAGGGUGGGGUGGGCGGUGGCCAUCUGGGGACCCCAAGGGACAUCACAUUGUGGCGUCCCUGUGGUCAGCUUUGUGGCCUGGAGGGAGGCCAGAUCAGAGGAAGGGCCUUCUCAGUGUCUGCCCUCCAUCUCCUCGAAAGUCUGCGGCCACUCCCAGCUCCUUUUGGCUAAUUCGGUUGUCGGCAGAGGGACAGGACAGCUGGCCCAGGACCUGCUAAUUAUAGCUGCUCAAGUGUUUGAGGGGGCAUUGAGUCCCCCAUGUCACGGGUUUUCUUGCAGACAGACGAACCCUUAGCCUCUGUUCCUGACACCGGCGCAGCUCCCAGAAUGGCCCAGACGCCCCAGCCCCACCCCAGGCCCCCUGGGAGGUCCGCGCGGGACCUCGCCCCAGGUCUUACCUUUGAUGCGAGUGGUUGGCGGAUCUGGUCCUGUCCCGUCGGCUGGAGCUCCGCUGCUUCCUAGAAAGUGAUUGGAUAAAUGGGGUUCUCUGAGUAUGAAAGCGGCCACCGUCCACUCGCCUCCCUGUCCCGCUUUUCUCUUGGGGCCGCAUGGCGGCCCGUCCCUACCUUUGGGUGCGUCUCAGUAUUUCCUAUGUCCUUGGCUGUCUUCGUUCUGUCACCCUUGUCACACCCAGGGAAGCCGUAACUUCAUUAUCCCCCUUCUGCAGGGGAGGAACCCGGGGCCCAGCGCCCAACCGCAGGCCCCGGGGGGACCAUGUGCCUUCUCUAACGGGGACCGACCAAGGCCGUGUGUCUGGUCAGGCUUGGGGUCUGCGUGUCAGCCCAGCUGGGGUGCACGGUGGCGCUCGUGCCCUGCUUUGCUCUGUGAUGCCCAAGCUGUUGGCAAGUUCUUAGCGGGGCCCCCACCGCGGGCUCCCCUGGGCCCUGAUGGAGGCCCGCACUGGCUACUCCUUUCUCUCAUCACCUCCACCCCCGUCCCGCACGCAGGUGGGGCCUGGGGCAGCGGCUCGGAGAGGUGGGCUGCACCUCAGCCAGGGAACCCGCUGGGUGUCUUCUCUUCUCCCCUCCCAGGUGGCGUGGAGGUGACAUGGCGGCUUUCUCCGGGAAGGAGGAAGACAGAUGCCGGGCCCAGGAGCGAAUGGAAAGCUGAGGCUCACUGCCCUCCCCCCCGGUGGGCAGUGAGUCAGUGGGUUCCCGAGGCCACAGUGGGGUCCCCCAGGAUGGCACAGCUGCCCAGAGGAGUGUGAGGCCGGCCCUCCGAGGCUGACCUUGCUGCAGCCCAGGUACGGACGCCCUGCUCUGCUGCUCUGACAGCCUUGCUGGGGAGGUGGGGCCCUCCGAGAGUGGGGGCGGGGGGCAACGCGACCUUAGGAUGGUGGCAUAAUUGAAAGAUUGGAAUAACACUUUUUUUUUUUGUCCUUUUGGGGCCACACCCACGGCACAUGGAGGUUCCUAGGCCAGGGGUCUAAUCCGAGCUGCAUCUGUGACCUACACCACAGCUCACGCAACGCCCAAUCCUUAACCCACUGAGCAAGGCCAGGGAUUGAACCCGAGUCCUCAGGGCUACUAGUCGGGUUCCUUAACUGCCGAGCCGUGAUGGGAACUCCCAGAAUAACCCCAUUACUCUUGUCUGUCUGUUAUGCCUCCCUCGGGAGCUGUGCACGUCUCUCACUGUAAUACAAAGGGUGCCAACAACAGGGCAUCAAUGGUGGGGGCUCCAGGGGUCUGCCUGGGGGCAGAGGUGGCUCCCUUGGGAGGUGGCAGUGGUAAAUUCCCCCCACCCACUCCUGUAGGGCGGGCCCGGCAGUGUUCAGGUGUUGCUUUUGAUGCCUUUAAUGAAAUAAGUUAUCAGAUGCCUGGCGCAUAGUAGGUACUCAAUAUAUGCAAAAAUGGUUCUUAUUUCAGGUGAAUCUGUACCCUAGCUGUCCCUUUGAAAGCCCUUGUCAUCUGUGGAGACUCUGGGCACGAGGGGUAGGCAGGUCAGCAGUGGGUCCCGGCGGUCUUUUCUCGAGUCAACCCUGUAACUUUUAUUGGCAUGCCAGGAUUUAUAUCGCCUUCUGGAGCAGUGAGUGUCUUCACGGGGAAUUACCCGGGCCUGGAGGCGGGUGCCAGUCACCUGGGUGCUGUAUUUUAUUUGUAUUUAUCAUAAAAAUCUUUUGUAUCUGAAAAACUAUGACAGACACCUCACAGUAUCCACCAGACCCACAUCCUGUCCGGAAUAAAACACCGCGUAAUAAAUAGCAGAGCCUCGUGUGCAGGCAGGGUGAUCAAAGAGCCGUUCAGGCUGGCAGAGGACCGGCUAACCAACCUCUGCUCCCAUUGCUUCUGCCCAAAGUCACGGUUGAAAAUAGGUGUCUAGAAGUGCUAGAAGGUCCUGCCCGUGUUAGCUUGGCGGGGUGGGGGUAGGGGGAGAUGCUAAUCGGCUAACCCAUCUGUUGAUCUGUGCCUAUGGAGUGAGGGCAGAACCGGAUGAGGCUUCAGGCCACUUUGGGCUUAAAGUGGGUUUUGUUUUGUGUUCUCGGGAUCGUGGAGCCUUGAUGUCUUCACGUGCGGAAAAGGGUCUUCCUUGCUGCUCCCUUAACGCCUUGCCGUUCAGGGAUCCUGACGCCUGUGACAGCUGGAGGGGGACCUGGGGACCUGAAGCUUAGUGGUGGGCAGGGGCUGCGGUGCCUCGGGGAGAGAGGGGAUUCUGAUGGGAGGGCGGGGUGCUGCCCUGGUCACGAAGGGGGCCAGGCAGGGACCUGCAAGGCUGCUCCCCAUGUUCAGAGGGUUGAUGGGCUGUGACCACACCCCCGGGUGGUUAGAACUGGGGAGGAAACCGGGCAGCUGCGGGCUCCAGCCUGGAAUUGAGCCAUCUGAGGAAGAGGCAAAGCUUGGCUCAUGCCCCUCCCCCCCACCUGGCACCCCUCCCCAGAGGCUUCCGUGUCCCCUCUCCGGGGACUCUCAUGUCACAUUUCUCCCCAAGUCCUCAUUCCAGUUAGCUAAUCCCGGAGGAUACGGGCCAAGGCAUUCGCUUUGGGGCCUUUUAAAGACCCAAAAGGAAAGUCUUCCUGGAUGGGUGCCUUGCAGACACCCGCCUGGCAGCUCUGGAGGGAUCUGAGGCCUGUGGUGGUGAAAUCCCAGCCAGUGGGCACGCACCUGCUGGCCUCAUGUCACUGACAUCCCACCAGGAGGCUAGGGGUCGGGGCGGGGGGCCUCCAGCUUUAGAAUGUAAAAAAUUAAAAAAAAGAAUGAACUUGGGGACAAAAUAAAUCCCUCAUGUCUGCAGAACUUGUUUGGGGGGGACUGUGCCCACUCCAAAACGCUCUUCCUUUU